CGUUUUCCUUUUCUUUACAGCUUCCGGAAAGGGUGGAGGCAGCAGAUUUGGGUGGGGAAGGUUUAUUGGCAGCGCCAAGCGGUGUUUGUUUUUAUUUUAUUUUUCACUGAGGAGGGUCGAUGGAACCAUGAACGGUAGCUUAUGAUCAGUGCUUAUUUCUAAAAAAAAUGUUUAGGGGUACAGUACCAUAGCUGUCAACUUACAGAUUUGAAAAUAAGGGACCAGCAGCCUCGAAAAUAAGGGAUCAGCAGCCAAAAUAAGGGAUUUUAGUCAACCAGCUGAAAUACGAAGUUAAAAGGGACCAGAUAAUUUGGGAGAGCAGCGCCGGUUUUUAGCCCUUCACUUCCAGAGGUUGCUGCUCAAGACACCAGCUGAUGAAACACUGCAAUUAAAUAACUACAAGCAGCAACCACUUUUCACGCAAAACAAAGUCCAAGCUACGAAGAUGCUGCUGCAGUUCUGUAUCUUUUCUCUCGUGCUCCAUCUGCAGCUCUCAGUUCCAUCAGGCGGGGUGGGAGGAAGGGGGGGGGAAAUAGCGCCCGUAGUAAACCCGCAGAUCAGACCAUCUGUGCUAGUCUACCACUACAAAUCUAUGGGAGAAGCGCUUGCGGUCCUUCCCUUGUAGCCCUUGGAACACCUCCCCGCGCCUCCUCCUCUUCCUCCUCUCUCUGAACUGCUUUCUCUAUGGUUGCCCUUGCUAUCCUCUCAAGGCUCCUCAGCAAUUCAUAGGCCGCGCCAGGCUGCCCAUCUCAUCCGGGUCCUUCGGCAGCGCAGCCGCAGUACAGCCUAGCGGGAGCGGCGGCAGCGGCAGGCAGAGAGGAGGAUGGCAGUGGAAGGGUCCGAGGCUCCCACCAUUCCCUGCGGGGAGGGGCUCCCAUGGGCCGAGGCUGUUGAGAGGAGGCAGCCAAGCAACACAGUUGGAGCCUCCCUCCUCCCUGGCUGGCAGGGAGGGAGGGAGAGGAGCUGCUUCCUUUGAAACCUGGGAAAUUUAAGGGACAUCAUCAAUAAGGGACAGGAGCAGGACACGGCGCUGGGAUAAGGGAGUUUCCCACCAAAUAAGGGACGGUUGACAGCUAUGUACAGUACUCUCAUUUUGACUCAAGAAAAUCAUAAUUUUGUAGUUCAAAUCGGGGAAAACAAACACAGUAAAAGGACAUUGGGGGUAGCGAUAGAACUGACGAUUCACCAUGCUAGAGAAGAACCUAAAAAAUUCAAAAAAAAUAGUUUCUUCUCCCGUUAGAUUCACAAAAUGUUUAGUGGUAACCCCAGAAAAAAAAGAGCACUGCUUAUAAUAACAUUUAUCUUGUAGGCUCAUUCGAUCAUAUGUGGUAAGUUUUAUUUUAUUUAUUUUAAUUGAUGAAUUUAUAUGCUGCCCUAUACCCAGAGGUCUCAUGGCAGUUCACAGAAAAGAUCACAAUAUAUAAAAUCAAAAUAAAAACAAUAACCCAAAGAAGAGCCACAUUUUUAAAAUGUCUAUCAGGUCAGCCAAAGGCCUAGUUAAAAAGGAAUUAUUUUUGCCUGGCGCCUAAAGGUGUAUAAUGAAGGCACCAGGCGAACUUCCCUGGGGAGAGCAUUUCACAGAUGGAAUUAAAAGGAUUUGUGGAAAUUUCAAAAAUGAUAAAAACGGACGUUCAUACAAGAAUCACACAUUGUCUCAAACGUUAACAAACGAGCCCGGCAAUCCUGUAUACACUUACUUGGUUUAAGUCUCAAUGUGGUUAGUGCAGCUGACUUAGGAUGAGCGUAUUGCCAAGCAACAAUACACUUACCUGGGAGUAAGUCCUAUUGAACUCAUUGGACUUACUUUCGAGUAGGCGUUGUAUAGGAUUGCACUCUUAAAAGGGCGUAACAGUUUUGUGGACUAGUGUUUUUCAGAUGCCACAUUAUGGUUCAUUGCUUUUGCUGCCGCAGGCUAGCAUGUCCAUCGCUACAGAAGUUAAAACAGAUGUCUGCAGAUUCAAAACUGGUGCUGCUGUCUAUAUCUGUUGGAUAUUACUGUGUAUAUAUCUUGCUUCAUAAAGAGCAAGCCCUGUUUUUACUUGGUCAGUUUGUGUGGAAAUACAGUGGUACCUCAGGUUAAGUACUUAAUUCGUUCCGGAGGUCUGUACUUAACCUGAAACUGUUCUUAACCUGAAGCACUACUUUAGCAAAUGGGGCCUGCUGCUGCUGCCACGCCGCCGGAGCACGAUUUCUGUUCUCAUCCUGAAGCAAAGUUCUUAACCUGAAGCACUAUUUCUGGGUUAGCGGAGGCUGUAACUUGAAGCGUAUGUAACCCGAGGUACCACUGUACUGUAGUGAAAAGGCAGAAAUCCAGUGACUAAUGUAAGACCCCCCUAUUCCUCAUGAAUGUGAUUUUGGUAGCAAUUACAUGAGAUUGUCGUCAUCAAAACACCAGCCUAUAUUUCUCCCCCUUUCCCCCUAUGGAGCUCUAGCAAUUCUACAUGAAGCAGUGACUGUAGACAGGCAUUACUUUGUCUUAUUUUAUGCUCUGCCUGACUUUUAGUGACAUUAGGCUGCUUGCUUCUAAUUGGAAUUCCUUGUUGAAGAACUCCUUUUACGUUAUUAUCUGUAGGGCGGGCGGCCGCACUGAUGGACAUCAAGGUUCAAAGAACAGCUUGACCUGUCAUAUAGCUGUUUUAUAUUUAUUAAUUUUAUUUUUAUUUAAAUUCUUUUUUAUUAAAUUUCUGUUAAAAGGAACAAAUGGCAAUCCUCAUACACACAUAUAAUCUACCUCACCAUGAAAUGUUGCAAUUCAAACCCAGAUGUGGACUGUUUAAUUGUGAUGAGUUUAUUCCUUUCACAGGUCAUAAUCUUGAAUGGUUAUGGGAACACAAAUAGUCCCUAUAUAUUCCUCAUGAACAAAAAACUGGAUCUCUUGUAGUCCCUCGCAAGACUGGGGGCAUAUUGCAACUAUGCAAGCUUGAAAACACUAAUUUAUAUUGGUGCUCAAAAUAAUUAUAGACAUCUCAGUGACUGAAUCGUGUAGGUUUGAAAGCUUAAUGAAAAAUAUGAAGGCACAAUUAAGUCCACAAACCCAUGCAUGUUUACUUGGGAUUAUAUACAACUGAAUUCACUUACCGUAUACAGUACUUACUUCCAAGUAAAUAUGCCUCAGCAAAUGAGCCCUAACAGGAGUAUAUGUGAGAAGGGCUCCACCCAGAGGAACACAAAACAGAAUGCAGUGGUGAUAAACCAGAGCAAAUACAGGUGAAAACAGGAUAAUUUUUGUGCCUUUAUAAGGAGUGCAUACCAUAUUUUAACCUUCAUUUUAGGAAAACUACAGUAUUUAGAGGAGUGGCUGGUUUAGAAGACUUGGCUGUGAGUUUGUUCCUAACCGUGGUUCCUUGCUUUGUAGUCCCUCAAAUUUAUUUAACUGGGCUAAGUAAAAAUGGAUUUGGUAAAAUAUGCUGUCUGUCUCAAAUACAGCUGAUAGAUUUUACUCAAGAGCUUGCAUUAAAUCAACUCUAUUUGGUAUUGAAUGAUAAAGCAAAAUAUCCUCAUAUACUAUAGAAUCUGGCUAUUCCUUGCUCAGAAGCUGCUUUUGUGUUAUAACUUCUGAGGUAGUCUAAUGAAAUAUCUUACAGGAGUUAACAGUUUAUACUCCUGUAAACGUCUUUAUCUAAGACCUUUCUGGUGACACAGCACUGCAAGAUCAGCAAAAGCUUCUGAAAUUUUAUAAGAAUGUCUCUUAAAGAAUGACUUUCUCCCUGUAAAGCUAACUGCGGCAGGAACUACCGUCAUGUUAAAACAUGUAUUCCUACUAUAUAAACUCAACAUUUUUUCUUGGCAACACCACAAUCCCUACAGCAGCCCUAUUCUUUUAGUACUGUUGAAUGGCAUAGCAAGAAGAGAAAAGUUGCUUGAUAGAAUCUCAGAUAUUUUAAACAAAACCAGGAAUAUUUUUUCCAUUUAGGCAGCUGGAUAGGAAACAAACUGACCAUGUAUUCUAACCAUGCAGUCCUAAUCAUGCCUACUUAGAAUUAAGUCCUAUUGAAUUAAGUGGAGAUUUCUUCCAGGUAAGUGCAUUUAGGAUUGCAGUCCUAGGUAGGUUGCUAAAAGCUUGAAGUAAACAGUGUGUUGAUUUUUCAGUAGCAUGGUGCUUAUCUAUGACAAGCCUAAACCAUUGCUUUAAUAUCUCACUCUUGAGGCCACUGAGUGCUACAAUGACGGAGUUCUGGGUUUGUUUUAAUUGUUGCAUUGGUGACCAGCUCAAAGUGGUGAGUUGACCUGCGAAUUAAGUUCCAGCUGUUUCCCUUCAGUAAUACAAUGACUUUUAUUUUAUUAUUCCAGGAUCACAAGAUCAUCUGUAAAUUAAACAAAUCCAUUUAGCAUUGUCAGCAAUUGUAUUAUAAGCACAAGCAGAACUGGGGGAAUAAUUAUUAAAGCUUGCUUAGUGACAUUAAGAAAAAAUAUUUAGGAAAUUGACUUCCGCGGAAAUUGUACAGAACAGCACAUGAAAGUUUUCAUUAUGAGGAAAUGGAAAGUGAGCCUGGUUAAAUAGUGGAUAUUCAUUAUAGGUGGAUUAUAAACAAUAUCAACUUGAGAAGCAAAGUGAGGUUCUAAUAAUUCAGCAUUUGUGUGUAAUAUUUAGAAUGGCUAACAACUAUGACUUUCCCAGUUUUAUAAAUCCAAACCAUCUUUUUGAAUGAUACGUGUUUUUCUUUCUCAUGGUACUCCAAAUAAGAAGCCUCCAAGACUUGACCGAAACAUUAUAGGAGAACCAAUGAACUUUGUACCCAUUGCCCACAUUGGAACAAAAGAGAUGGCUAGUGCCCUUCCAUCAGUAAGUAUGUGCUUUAAUAUGUCUUAUCAAAAUCAAAUAUCUUUAAUACGGUCAAUGACCAGCAAGCAAUUUAUAAAAUAAAAUAUGGCAAUAUAAGUACUAUUGUACUACAGAUAACAGUGGAGAUAUGGCCAAAUCACAAAAUUGGUACUUAUGUUUAUGACCAGGUUUCGACUUUUAAGGUUUUAAGGAUUCAAUUCAAAUGUCACUACUGUUUAUUCAUUCCUUCGAUGUUUGCAGUUUGAACUCCGUUGCUGUCAUCAUUGCUCGUCUUAUUCUUGUUGCAAUGUAACAGUACUUCGCCACAGGCCUGUUGAUUUCGGGGUCUUUGUCAGCUAAGAGGUGUCUGAUAUAGGUGUCGUCUGUACUACAAGGUAUUUUCCUCAGAACGAUAAUCCAUAACUGGAUUAUCUAAUAUUGGUAUGAUUAUUACUUCUUGAAGACCUCAGCUGGCUCACAGUUUGAACUGCAGUCGUCUGCAUAUCAACUUGUGAGUAAAUCCCAAUGAAUACAGUGAGGCAUGCUUCUGGGUAAACAUGCGUAUAAUGGAAGGCAUGGUUGUUGCAAAAAAGAAUCUUUAGUAUUAUUGAGUAAAGUGUGUAACCUAAACUUCUUUGCUUGUCUAAAUGUCAAGCAUACAGCAGCUCCAUAUUUUUAUGUAGAAGCUAACCAAAGGUUUAAUAAAUGUACACAAAUUAGUGACAUUAUUUUAUUUUUGAAUACAUAUUAGGACAACCAUGGGCGUAGGCAGGAUUUGUUAGGGGGCAGAAUGUCAGUUAAGUAUUUUUAUUGAUUUAAUUGCUCUAGGGCAGAGGCAAGUAGGAAUUAGGAUUUACUUGCUCUAGGGGGCUACACCAAUGAGGGCAAUCGCUUUAUUGGGCCAAGCAAGAUUUCAAACAAAACAAUGUUCAAAUUUUUGAGUUCACCAGAAUUUAUCAGGCUAGAUCAGGGGUCAGCAAACUGUCCCUCAGAACUUGUGGGGGGCCAGACUAUAUUUUGAAGGGGGGGGAAUGAACGAAUUCCUAUGCCCCACAAAUAACCCAGAGAUGCACUUUAAAUAAGAUUUUACAUUCUACUCAUGUAAAAACAGACCGAUUCCCGGACCAUCCGCGGGCCAGAUUUAGAAGGCGAUUGGGCCGGAUCCGGCCUCCAGGCCUUAGUUUGCCUACCCAUGGGCUAGAUGGCUGAAAGCACAAUGGGGGGGGGGGGAGAAGACUUUUCAAGCAAUCUGAGAGGAGGUAUCAGACAAUCAAAUGAGGCCCGUUCAGGUACAGGUUUGUUGUACCCAGCUCUUUUGGAAGAACACAUAAUAGUUGAGCCUGUCUGCAAACUUAGCAACCAUCUGUUAACUGCAUUCUGCGUCCAUAGGUGAAACACAGCCGACUUUAGUAGAGUUGAUCUUUACCUCUGACUAUAUGGGAACUGCUUAUUUAUACCUGUUCACAUAUCAAAGGAACCUAUGUGUUCUGCCUGAAAAUAGAGGCAGAAUGGAGCUAGUUUUUAAUGUGUGCAGACAUGAAGACUCAAAUCAUUGUUUUCUUUUCCCCACAAGAGUUGGGUGCAACCUGAAACCUGCAAUACACCUGUAGACAUCUUAUCUGAACAUCUGACACUACCUUCCACACUUUAGACUACAGUAUUGUCAGAUGCUGACAAGGAUAGUAGCUUGGAUAGUAUUUUUUCUCUUGCAUUUUUUGUUUUGUUUUACCAUCUAGCCUGAUGAAAUCUUAGGAAACUUAAGUUUGUAUGCAAUUUCACGAAUAACGGUUAGUCAAAUAUAGGUAUUGCCCUAAUGUAUUAUGGAAUUUAUUCCAUUAAUAAUACUUAAGCCAGGCUUUCUGCAUUGGGACUUAGUUUUAAUGCAGUACUUUGACACAAUCUUGUGCAUGCUCACACAAUUCUCACAAGCCAAACUGACCUCAGUAGCACAUAUUCUCAGGUGUAUAUUGGAUUGCAACCUUAAUAACAAUGUCCAGUCAGGAAAGUAUAGUGAAUGCAAGAAUUAUGGACUGAUACAGUUAUACUUCUUCUAGGUCGGGCAAAUUCAGGAACAAAUGAAUUCCAAAGGAGGCUACAACAACAAUAAUUCUUCAACUGCAAAGAUGUAAGAUGUCUGAAUGAGAGAAUGAAAUACCAAUUUGGGGAUGUGAUGCUUUGGAAGCAGCUGGCUGUAAGGCGAAGAACUGACCAAUUUUAUUUUAUACGUUGUUAUAUUUAGACUACUAAUCUGCUGGUAAAGCUGUGAAAUGCUAAAUUUAAUGCCAACUCUUGUUUCUGUCGAAGCCUGUUCAUGCUGGAGACUGAAUCUUGACAUAACCAUUUAGAUAAAGCAUCAUGACCACAAUUUGUUGUCUAAAAGCAGUAUUUAAGAUGGUAGCUACAUUUUAAUGAACAACUCCACUAAAGAUGCCUCAGGUUUUGUAGUUCUGCUGGGGGAUGGGAGAAACUAGGUUACACUGCUUUAAAUUUAGAAAAUUGCAGAGUGAUUCACAAACUUUGGCUCCCACUGCCUCCCGCAGUUUGGUUAGGCUCAUGUUUGAGCCUCCAGUAAGAAUCUUGCGCAGGGAAACAGGCAUGAAUUGCUUGGUCUUGGUGUCCCUGAUCUUUGGAAAUCCUGCUUGAGCAGACACGUGUCACUAUAUUAAGCAUUCAGUAUAUUAAAUACUAUAGAACUUCUUCUGGGCGUGAAAUUCUACAAACAAUAUUGCCUGUCUUUCUGAACAGAUAUUGUGGAGGCUGAUCUCACUAAAGGCUAGUUUGUUUUUUGCUAAUAUGCUUCUUGUCAUAGAGAAUGGGAGUGUAGUAUGAUCCUAUCUAGACAGCAUCUUAAAAAGCAGAGACAUCCCCUUGCCAACAAAGGUCCG
Non-coding RNA from Podarcis lilfordi (Lilford's wall lizard), 7647 nucleotides. NCBI's taxonomy places the organism in Eukaryota, Metazoa, Chordata, Lepidosauria, Squamata, Lacertidae. The record is from the annotation of a GenBank genome assembly.